AUGCCCAGCGCACGCACUAGGGGAGACCUGCCCCUCAGGUUCCUGCAGGGCAACAAGAGCCCACUGGAGGUUGCAACUCAAGUGGCAAAAGAAGCUGAUGAGUACAAUGGAUUCAACCUUAUACUAGCUGAUCUAACGAGGAAUGUCAUGGUCUAUGCGUCAAACCGGCCAAAGGGGCAACCUGCGAUGAUUCAGCUCGUCUCACCAGGACUCCAUAUGUUGUCCAAUGCAAGGCUAGACAGCCCUUGGCAGAAGGCAAUUCGCCUCGGUAAAAACUUCAGGGAGUUUAUAAGGAAGCAUGGUGAAGAUGAAGUUGAAACAAAGGAUAUAGCUGACAGACUAAUGACUAACACCACGGCUGAUAAAGAUAGGCUGCCGAACACCGGUUGUGAUCCCAACUGGGAGCACGGUCUGAGCUCCAUCUUCAUCGAGGUGCAAACUGACAAAGGGCUCUAUGGGACAAGGAGCACAGCAGUUCUUUCAGUGAACUAUGAUGGAGAAGCUAGCUUAUACGAUAAGUACCUUGAGAGUGGUAUAUGGAAGGACCACACAGUGCAUUAG
Molecule: ribosomal RNA, 561 nt
Filed under: Triticum aestivum (bread wheat)
Lineage: Eukaryota; Viridiplantae; Streptophyta; Magnoliopsida; Poales; Poaceae
Description: partial small subunit ribosomal RNA
Source: RNAcentral